RNAcentral lists this ribosomal RNA (1563 nucleotides) under Naegleria fowleri. RNAcentral's name for it is "SSU rRNA". It matches the Rfam family "Bacterial small subunit ribosomal RNA". Lineage: Eukaryota; Heterolobosea; Eutetramitea; Acrasida; Naegleriidae. The record is from RNAcentral.
UGGGUUUUAUUCUGGCUCGGAGUGAAUGCUUGUGAUAGGCUUAACACAUGCAAGUUAUACAUUUUUUAUCAUGGAAAUGAGUAAUUACUAUAAGUAGCGGAAUAAAAAAUGUAGCGAACGGGUGUAUAAUAUAUAUUGAAUAUACCUCUGAGUUUGGAAUGUAUAUUAAAAAAUAAUAUGAAUUCCAUUAAUAGUAAAAUAUAUAUUAUUGCUUAGAGAUUUUCAUAUAGAGUUUUAGGUAGUUGGUGAGAUUAAAAGCUCACCAAGCCAAAAAUGCUUAGCUGUUCUGGGAGGUUGUUCAGCCACAUGGGAACUGAGAAACGGUCCUAAUUUCAUUUGAAAUCAGCAGUGGGGAAUCUUGGUCAAUGAGCGAAAGCUUGAACCAGGUAUAUCAUGUGAGUGAGGACGGCGCAUUUAGUCGUAAAACUCUUGCUCCGUGGAAAAUGAUGAUGGUACACGGGAGCAAGCGCUGGCCAAUACUCGUGCCAGCCGCCGCGGUAAUACGAGUAGCGCGAGUGUUACUCUCCUUGACUGGGCGUAAAGGGUGCGUAGGUUGUGUAAUAAGUUUUAAGUGAAAUUUUAUAUAUAUGAUAAUAUACUUUUAAUACUAUUACGCUAGAGUUUAUUAGGAGUUAACGGAACCUCUAUAAUCAGAGUUGAAAUGCGUUAAAGAUAGAGAGAACUCCAAUGGCGAAAGCAGUUAACUAUAGUAGACUGACACUGAGGCACGAAGGCAUGGGAAUCGAAGAGGAUUAGGUACCCUCGUAGUCUAUGCUGUCAACGAUGAAUGUUAAAGGGUAGUGUUAACUAUUCUUACAGCUAACGCGUUAAACAUUCCGCCUGGGAACUACGAUCGCAAGAUUAAAACCUAAAGAAAUUGACGGAGAUCUGCUACAAGCAGUGGAGCAUGUGAUUUAAUUCGAUACACCGCGAGAAAUCUUACCAAUCCUUGUCAUAUUAGAUAUAGAUAGUAGAUAUUGUAGUAAUAUACAAUAAAUGAUUUCUAUCUCUCAUAAAGCAUAAAACAGGACGAUAGUUUCAUAGCAUUGUCUAUAUAUAUAUAAUAUCUAAUACAGGUGUUGCAUGGCUGUCGUAAGUUCGUGUUGUGAGGCGUUAGGUUAAUUCCCAUGAACGAACGAGACCCUCAUUUAUAUUUAAGUUACGCACUAACAAAAAAACUAUAAAAUUAGGGGAUGACGUCAAGUCAUUAUGGCCUUAAUGGGUUGGGCUAUCCAUGUGCUACAUAGGUAACAACAAAAAGAUGCAAUGAUGUGAAUCGGAGCAAAACUAAAAAAGUUAUCAUAGUUCGGAUUGUUCUCUGAAACUCGAGAACAUGAAGUAGGAAUUGCUAGUAAUCGUAAAUAAGUACGUUACGGUGAAUGUGUGUCCAGAUCUUGUACAUACCGCCCGUCACGCCAUGGAAGUUGGUAGUCCUGUAUGGUAUUAUUAGAUUUCGUAUAAUUCGCAAGGAUGAGCGAAUAAAAAUAAUAGGUAAGGGAUUAUUAAUAACUGAGGUAAAGUCGUAACAUGGUAGUCGUAGAGGAAUCUGUGGCUGGAACAAGG